Molecule: long non-coding RNA, 3917 nt
Organism: Oncorhynchus keta (chum salmon)
Lineage: Eukaryota; Metazoa; Chordata; Actinopteri; Salmoniformes; Salmonidae
Exons: 3
Source: RefSeq, a predicted model, not a curated record
AGUGUAUUGCUUGCGUACACAUAUUAGAGAUAUACUGUAUGUAAUAAAUCAAAGUGUAUUGCUUGCGUACACAUAUUAGAGAUAUACUAUAUGUAACAAAUCAAAGUGUAUUGCUUGCGUACACAGAUUAGAGAUGGGCUGUAUGUAACAAAUCAAAGUGUAUUGAUUGCGUACACAUAUUAGAGAUAUACUGUAUGUAACAAAUCAAAGUGUAUUGCUUGCGUACACAGAUUAGAGAUAUACUGUAUGUAACAAAUCAAAGUGUAUUGCUUGCAUACACAGAUUAUCAGAUGUUACAGCAUUUGCAGCAAAAUGCUUGUGUUUCUAACUCCUAUAGUGUAGUAAUACAAUAUCAAUACAAUACCAAUAUGCAAAUAAUCCAGAAAUUCAAAACAAGAAACAAAUGCAUCCCCUAUACAGGGAAACAUGUAGUUGCUGGGGUCAUUUUGAUGGGGGUUGGAGGUACUGUAAUACCUUUACAUAUACCAUUACGUAGCAGACACUUUUAUCCAAAGUGACUACAGUCCAAACAUGGUGGUAUGUGAUCCCAGUGGGAACUGAACCCACAACUCUGGUGAUGCUAGUGCUCUGAUGAACCGAGCCACGUACAGCACCACAACAGUAAAUAUGUACAAUACAAUACUGUAAAAUACAAUACGCAAUUACAAGAGAUGUAUGAUUGCCAUCCGCAUGAGUGUACCACCUCCCUUCAGGCUUGGAUUCACAAUGCCAAAAGAGUUUUCCCCAGGUGCAUGAACAAUGAUGAUAUUUACUGUGAUUUCGAUGAGAACCUAUGGCCAUAUGCUCAAGACAGGCUUAAUGCAAACGAUUGCCUGCUAAACAUUAUAUUUCUGUCAUUUCUUUCAUUUGAUUACAGUGUGAAAUAUGUCUUCAAUGAUCACACCUUUGGGAUAGAAAUGAUGGAACUGUAAUGUUCAAUCAAUUGCAAAGCCUAAUGUGAAAUCUGUGUAAUGUGCUGUAAUGUACUGUGGCGUACUACAUUAAAGGGGCAGUCUGAAACAUGUAUGUUUCGCUAUUGAAUGACCUGGUUGCUAUAAUAACUACAUUUAGAAGAUAUCAUUAUGUUGUGCUUUGGUGAUUCUAUUUCACAGUAAACAUAUUUUUUCCAUCAAUGGUAGUGUGGUGAAAGAUGUCUACAAACAAAAUGAAUGCACAACGAAAGGUUUUGAACAUUAGACUGGCUGCAUUGCACAACGAAAGGUUUUGAACAUUAGACUGGCUGCAUUGCACAACGAAAGGUUUUGAACAUUAGACUGGCUGCAUUGCACAACGAAAGGUUUUGAACAUUAGACUGGCUGCAUUGCACAACGAAAGGUUUUGAACAUUAGACUGGCUGCAUUGCACAACGAAAGGUUUUGAACAUUAGACUGGCUGCAUUGCACAACGAAAGGUUUUGAACAUUAGACUGGCUGCAUUGCACAACGAAAGGUUUUGAACAUUAGACUGGCUGCAUUGCACAACGAAAGGUUUUGAACAUUAGACUGGCUGCAUUGCACAAUGAAAGGUUUUGAACAUUAGACUGGCUGCAUUGCACAACGAAAGGUUUUGAACAUUAGACUGGCUGCAUUGCACAACGAAAGGUUUUGAACAUUAGACUGGCUGCAUUGCACAACGAAAGGUUUUGAACAUUAGACUGGCUGCAUUGCACAACGAAAGGUUUUGAACAUUAGACUGGCUGCAUUGCACAACGAAAGGUUUUGAACAUUAGACUGGCUGCAUUGCACAACGAAAGGUUUUGAACAUUAGACUGGCUGCAUUGCACAACGAAAGGUUUUGAACAUUAGACUGGCUGCAUUGCACAAUGAAAGGUUUUGAACAUUAGACUGGCUGCAUUGCAAGUUUUACCAGUUUGGGUUUUGUACAUUCACCUCAUACUUGUGAGAAAAAAUAAAUAAUGCUAGUGGUGCAUCUAAAAAUAAAAAUGGUAUAAAAGGAAUAUUAUGGAAUAUCGUAGGUAUUAUAGUAUGUUUCUUGCUCAAAUGUGACUCCAUUUCCUCCAUUCCUCCAUUUCACUUUUUCAAUUUAUUUCCUUGCAUUUGGAAAUGAAUCUACUUUAGCUAUUGUCCUGUGUGUGAAUAUAUUGUUCAAUUGUGAAUAGUUCUUACCCAUGUAGCUAAGUGGUAAAAGGUUCUCAUUGUGAUUGAAACCAAACUGCUUUCUCCUCCUCUAGCUUAUCUGUUUGGGGUUUAUAGAUUUCAACCUUUGCAGUAUUGCCUCCACCCAGGGCCUGGGUCUGAGUGUCUGGAGACAGAGAGAGUGUUAUCCAUGCAGAAGAGAGAUGAGAAGAGAAAGUGAGAGAGAGAUUGAGGGAGAGAGAGAAAGGAAGGAAGGAGAGAGAGAGAGAAAGCAGGGCUUUGAUUUUUCUCUAAUCUAAACUUUUCUCUAAGGGGUUGGAGCACUGAAUAGACUCAAGUACAAUAUGUUUCUUAAAUGUCCUAACAUCUAUUCUAAACCCUGUAGCCUACAGUACAACUUGUACAAUUUAUGGAACCAUUUUAUCGAUAUGCCAGAGGACAAAAAAGAUUUUCAACUGGGAUAAAACACACAAUGACCCUUGGACAGAGGAACUCAAUGACAUAUUUAAUGUAGCUGAUCUACAACACAUAUUUAAUGUAGCUGAUCUACAACACAUAUUUAAUGUAGCUGAUCUACAACACAUAUUUAAUGUAGCUGAUCUACAACACAUAUUUAAUGUAGCUGAUCUACAACACAUAUUUAAUGUAGCUGAUCUACAACACAUAUUUAAUGUAGCUGAUCUACAACACAUAUUUAAUGUAGCUGAUCUACAACACAUAUUUAAUGUAGCUGAUCUACAACACAUAUUUAAUGUAGCUGAUCUACAACACAUAUUUAAUGUAGCUGAUCUACAACACAUAUUUAAUGUAGCUGAUCUACAACACAUAUUUAAUGUAGCUGAUCUACAACACAUAUUUAAUGUAGCUGAUCUACAACAAGGCACUUUUUAAAAAGGCACUCCGGGUUAGGGGAGGGUUUGGCCGGCAGGGAUGUCCUUGUCCCAUCAUGCAUUAGCGACUCCUGUGUCGGGCCGGGCGCAGUGCACGCUGACACGGUCGCCAGGUGUACGGUUUCCCCUUCGACACAUUGGUGCGGCUGGCUUCCGGGUCAAGCAGGCAUUGUGUUAAGAAGAAGUGCAGCUUGGCUGGGUUGUGUUUCGGAGGAGGCACUGCUCUCAACCUUCACCUCUCCAUAGUCUGUACUGGAGUUGCAGUGAUGAGGCAAGACUGUAACUGCCAAUUGGAUACCACAAAAUUGGGGAGAGAAGGGGGUAAAAAAAUAUAUAAAAAAUAAGCUCUGUCAGGUUGGUUGUUGAUCCUUGCUAGACGGCCAUUUUCAAGUCUUGCCAUAGAUUUCCAAGCUGAUUUAAGUCAAAACUGUAACUAGGCCACUCAGGAACAUUCAUUGUCUUCUUGGUAAGCAACUCCAGUGUAUAUUUUGCCUUGUGUUUUAGAUUAUUAUCCUGCUGAAACGUGAAUUUGUAUCCAAGUGUCUGUUGGAAAGCAGGUUUUGCUCUAGGAUUUUCCCUGUGCUUAGCUCUAUUCCAUUCAUUUUAUCAAUUAAAAAAACUCCCUAUUACUUGCCAAUGACAAACAUACCCAUAACGUGAUGCAGCCACCACCAUUCUUGAAUAUUUGAUAAGUGGUUCUCAGUGAUGUGUUAUGUGGGAUUUGCCCCAAACAUAAUACUUUGUAUUCAGGACAUAAAGUUAAAUUCUUUGCAGUUUUUUGCAGUUUUAUUUUAGUGCCUUAUUGCAAACAGGAUGCAUGUUUUGGAAUAUUUGUAUUCUGUACAGGCUUCCUCCUUUUCACUCUGUCAUUUAGGUUAGUUUUGUGGAGUAACUACAAUGUUGUUGAUCCAUCCUCAGUUUUCUCCUAUCA